ACUGGAAGGUGAAAUAAAGAC
Molecule: non-coding RNA, 21 nt
Filed under: Rattus norvegicus (Norway rat)
Lineage: Eukaryota; Metazoa; Chordata; Mammalia; Rodentia; Muridae
Source: RNAcentral